AGUGAGAGGCCAACAGACAAGCCAGUUGGCCUUGAGCUCCGGCUCACUAAUAAUAGCAUCAUCCAGGCCGGCUCAGAGCUGCGGGGACUGCAGGAUGACAUCACCCAGAUGGAAGCAGAAGGGAUGGGCAAACCGCAAGGUCCCAAGGGCUGAUGAACACUGGAAGCUGCUUGAGAAAACCCAGGCUGGAGUGCAGCAGUGCAAUCUCAGUUCACUACAACCUCUGCCUCCCAGGUUCAAGAGAUCCUCCCACCUCAACCUCUUGAGUAGCUGGGACUACCAGAGUUAG
This is a long non-coding RNA of Callithrix jacchus (white-tufted-ear marmoset), 289 nucleotides long. The record is from Ensembl. NCBI's taxonomy places the organism in Eukaryota, Metazoa, Chordata, Mammalia, Primates, Cebidae.